UACGGAGGGUGCAAGCGUUAUCCGGAUUCACUGGGUUUAAAGGGUGCGUAGGUGGUUUGGUAAGUCCGUGGUGAAAUCUCCGAGCUUAACUCGGAAACUGCCGUGGAUACUAUCAAUCUUGAAUACUGUGGAGGUAAGCGGAACAUGUCAUGUAGCGGUGAAAUGCUUAGAUAUGACAUAGAACACCGAUAGCGGAGGCAGCUUGCUACACAGUCAUUGACACUGAGGCACGAAAGCGUGGGGAUCAAACAGG
RNAcentral lists this ribosomal RNA (253 nucleotides) under uncultured bacterium. RNAcentral describes it as "partial 16S ribosomal RNA". It matches the Rfam family "Bacterial small subunit ribosomal RNA", at positions 524 to 776 of the family's 1533-position model. The record is from RNAcentral.